This 115-nucleotide ribosomal RNA is filed under the name Periophthalmus magnuspinnatus. The record is from RNAcentral. Lineage: Eukaryota; Metazoa; Chordata; Actinopteri; Gobiiformes; Gobiidae.
CCAUGUGGCUAUACCAGCUUGUCAAAACCUGAGAUCAGAUCGCAGAAGCAAAGCAUGGCCAGGUCUGGUUAGUACUUGGAUGGGAGACUGUUGGAAAUACCAGGUGCCACAGUGG